UGGUGGUGGUGGUGGGGAUUCCUCUGCUGAAAAGUUGAAAGAAACUUUCUCCCCGAUUCUUGAAUGAAGGGGAGGGAGGCCAGGCCGGGCGGCGGGAGAGAGAGAGAGAGAGGAGAGGAAUAUAUAUAUGUAACGAAAGAAAGAGACCAGAACAAGCGAGCUCACAGUGGCAAAUGCAGAUCCCCCCUUCCCUCCUUUGUCCAACAACAACCCUAGGAAGUGGGCUUGGCUGAAAAGAGAACAACUUGACUGGGGGCACCCAUGAAUUUCAUGGCUUUGUGGGUCUUGGGGUCUCAACCUUUGAAGUCUACAUCCAGGGGAGAGGAGAUAAUCAAAACAGAGAAGGCAGGGAGCAAAGCCAUAAUGAGACAGAUGUCUGCAUGUAAGGCAAGGAUGUCAUCAGAAAAGGAUCUCCUGAAAUCUGAAACAUGCUUCUUCCUUCCUGACUCAGCGGCUGUGACUGAUAGGUUGUCCUGGUCCCUUGUGAGGAAGAGAGAGAGAUAGAUAGACUGAAAGCCAUCUUUGAGAGAAAGGUCUGAGAUCCAGUUUACACAGUCAAAAAGGACACCAUGAUACAUCGUGACAGCCCCUAAGGGGACAUACACUGGUGCCUCGCUUAACGAGUGCCUCAUUAAACGACGAAACCACUAUACGAUGACUGUUUUGCAAUCAAACAAAAACAGGACAGCCUCUUCUUGCAGACGUCAUCUGAAAAGACAAAAGAAAAUCCAGCCAAGGGGAGAAAAGGAGGACCAGCAAAUUCAGGUACCAGUUCCAGUCACUGGAUGGCCGUUCUUACAAAGGGUCACCUGGAACUGAAGCUGCCCAGGGAAGAGAAGCUGGAUGAUGCUGAGCCGAUCAAAGGGCUCUGGUUCCCAUCACCGUCUCUUCAUCCAUCCAUCCCAACAGGGGUGCAAUCACAGGAAAUGUUAGUGAGAGGUGAUGUUGAAUCCAGGGAAGGUACGCCAUAGGUUUUCCGUGACAGUGUAUCCCCAAUAAAGGUCAGGGUGCAUCAUACAUCUUUUCUAAAGGGCAAAUUGAUUUGAGAUUAACUUCCAUUAAAGUUACUUCCGGUUCAUAAGACAUAUUGUCUGUGUUUCUGAAAUGAUUUGUUUUGCAAUUGUAGGAAUUGGGUGGACGCGAAUGAGGUGAUGCAUCAGCCUGUGACCUUCGGCAUUUUCUUGUUACUGCCUUCUUUAUUGUGUCUAUAUUCUUUUCAUACUUUUGCCUUUUC
Pogona vitticeps (central bearded dragon) is the source of this 1234-nucleotide non-coding RNA. Lineage: Eukaryota; Metazoa; Chordata; Lepidosauria; Squamata; Agamidae. The record is from RefSeq and is a predicted model, not a curated record.